This is a long non-coding RNA of Passer domesticus (house sparrow), 438 nucleotides long. RefSeq lists it as uncharacterized. Lineage: Eukaryota; Metazoa; Chordata; Aves; Passeriformes; Passeridae. The transcript has 4 exons. The record is from RefSeq and is a predicted model, not a curated record.
GUUAAAUUUGCAUUGUAUAGCUGUUAUGUCAUUUCAAUGACAUUUGUUUAGUACUGAAUUAUCCUGUAUCAUCCCCAUUCCCUUGCAGUGCAUCACUACGAAGUGUUAAAAAAACUAGCAAAAUUGCUUCAGAAACUCAAAGGGAUCUUCUGUUCAAAAAAUGUCAGAGGUAGAAUCCAGAGCUGAGUGAACUGCAUGGUGGCUUAUAUAGGCAGUUAAGUUGUCAAGGCCAUAUAUCAUGAACUACUGAUGCUAGUCAUGACAUUUCUAGCAGAAAAUUCGAUUCUUCGUGAACAUUUAAAUGUUAGUAAUGUCAUUGACUGUUGACAGAGAAGCACGAAACUCACUCCAAAACCCAAAGUCUGUAGCAGAAUGAAAUCUGUUGAGAUGUUUACCUGAAACCAAAGAAGGAGAAGCAGACAGAAGAAAAACUAACAG